CUGACACGGUCCCCGGACAGGAUCGGCUUGCGACGCUGCAUCUUUCGUUAUCGGACGCGAGCGGGGACAGCGCCAUCAUCGAAUAUAUCGGCGGCAAGCAGGUCAUCCAUCAUGGCCGCGAAUAUCAGGUGAUGACCAAUUCACCGACAUUCGACCAACAGCUUGCGCUAAAUGCCUACUGGAAGGAGAUUGGUGGCACCGUGUUUCUGCCGGGGACGAACCGUGCCUCCGACCGCUUUGCCCGCGCCUCGUUCUACGUGAAUGCCAUCCCGAAGAGUGAAGACCCGGUUGUGGCACUGGCCAGUGUAUUCAGCGUGAUCCGCAAUACUUCGGUCCCGUUCGG
This 343-nucleotide unclassified non-coding RNA is filed under the name Hevea brasiliensis (rubber tree). Lineage: Eukaryota; Viridiplantae; Streptophyta; Magnoliopsida; Malpighiales; Euphorbiaceae. The record is from RNAcentral.